UCCUGGUUAGCUCAGUUGGUAGAGUGCUCUGCUGGAAAUGAGAGAGGUCCCUGGUUUAAUACCAGGACAAGGUU
Molecule: transfer RNA, 74 nt
Filed under: Ixodes scapularis (black-legged tick)
Lineage: Eukaryota; Metazoa; Arthropoda; Arachnida; Ixodida; Ixodidae
Rfam family: tRNA
About the family: Transfer RNA (tRNA) molecules are approximately 80 nucleotides in length.
Source: Rfam by way of RNAcentral